This 482-nucleotide ribosomal RNA is filed under the name uncultured bacterium. RNAcentral's name for it is "partial 16S ribosomal RNA". It matches the Rfam family "Bacterial small subunit ribosomal RNA", at positions 28 to 523 of the family's 1533-position model. The record is from RNAcentral.
GACGAACGCUGGCGGCGUGCUUAACACAUGCAAGUCGAACGGUGAAACCUAACUUGCUAGGUCGAUUAGUGGCGAACGGGUGAGUAACACGUGACUAACCUGCCCCUUUCUCUGGGAUAACGCUCCGAAAGGAGUGCUAAUACCGGAUACUCACAUCGAGGUACAUGCCUUGGUGUGGAAAGUUUUUCGGAAAGGGAUGGAGUCGCGGCCUAUCAGCUUGUUGGUUAGGUAACGGCUCACCAAGGCGACGACGGGUAGCCGGCCUGAGAGGGCGACCGGCCACACUGGGACUGAGACACGGCCCAGACUCCUACGGGAGGCAGCAGUGGGGAAUAUUGCACAAUGGGCGCAAGCCUGAUGCAGCGACGCCGCGUGAGGGAUGAAGGUCUUCGGAUUGUAAACCUCUUUCAGUAGGGACGAAGCGAAAGUGGCGGUACCUAAAGAAGAAGCACCGGCUAACUACGUGCCAGCCGCCGCGGUAA